UAUGUUUGGUUUCGCGAUGAUAAUUAAAAAUAAUAGUCCGGUAAGUGCAUGUAAGUACAUCAAUGCGAAGAAUACAGGCAAUUUUGAUCCUCACAAGUGGUGCCGGGUGUUCUGGAAGGAUAACACACACUGCGGCCACUAUCACGCUCAAGUGAUUAAGCUUUACGGCACCGAGGAUGAUGCAAGGAAUGCAACAGAAAAACGACCAUCCAUUCCGCAGACCCGAUUGCGACUCCUCCGAUAGCUGCAGUUCAAAUGAAGUGGACAAUGAGUCGUUUAAAAACAAAGAACCUUGUCCUUUGCGGGUGUUGCAGCACAAGCCUCAAAAACAGAAGCGACUUGCACCUUUGCCACCACUAUGUGCUGCUACGCUGGAACCACCACAGCGACCACGGACAGCCCUGAAGUAGCCCACUCAAGUGUGAGGGAGGCUGCACCGCUUAUCAAUUAUGUGCCCACUGACAGAGAGGUGCAUCGGAGCAAAGGAAUUGCCGUUCCCAAGAGGUUGUACAAUCACCCUAUGGGCUUGAAAAGACAGACCCAUUUUGUUCGUGAGGCGGCCGUUACCAUUUUUCAUACAGCAGGCCAAGUCGGUAGAAGUGUUACUGGUGCAGCCUCCAAUCGGUCUAAAGGGGAGGUGAAAUCUCCCUAGGAGAAAGAAACAUAUGCUGUAUUUUCAGAUUUCUUCAACCAUUUUUUUGAAGCACACCCUUCUGAUUGGAAAGGUUGAACAAAUGAAGAAGCUCCUCAAUAAAGCUUUGGCAAACAAAAUUAUUGACUUUAUGAAAUCAAAAGAUUAACCAAGGAAUGGCACAUCAAAUAAAAUAUUUUGUUUGAU
RNAcentral lists this long non-coding RNA (838 nucleotides) under Rhipicephalus microplus (southern cattle tick). Its description in RNAcentral is "uncharacterized LOC119178465, transcript variant X1". The record is from RNAcentral. Lineage: Eukaryota; Metazoa; Arthropoda; Arachnida; Ixodida; Ixodidae.